AGCGAACGCUGGCGGCAGGCUUAACACAUGCAAGUCGAACGGAUCCUUCGGGAUUAGUGGCGGACGGGUGAGUAACACGUGGGAACGUGCCUUUUGGUUCGGAACAACACAGGGAAACUUGUGCUAAUACCGGAUGUGCCCUUCGGGGAAGGAUUAUCGCCAUUAGAGCGGCCCGCGUCUGAUUAGCUAGUUGGUGAGGUAAAGGCUCACCAAGGCUACGAUCAGUAGCUGGUC
This 234-nucleotide ribosomal RNA is filed under the name uncultured bacterium. Its description in RNAcentral is "partial 16S ribosomal RNA". It matches the Rfam family "Bacterial small subunit ribosomal RNA", at positions 29 to 292 of the family's 1533-position model. The record is from RNAcentral.